GAUGAACGCUGGCGGCGUGCCUAAUACAUGCAAGUCGAGCGAACAGACGAGGAGCUUGCUCCUCUGACGUUAGCGGCGGACGGGUGAGUAACACGUGGAUAACCUACCUAUAAGACUGGGAUAACUUCGGGAAACCGGAGCUAAUACCGGAUAAUAUAUUGAACCGCAUGGUUCAAUAGUGAAAGACGGUUUUGCUGUCACUUAUAGAUGGAUCCGCGCCGCAUUAGCUAGUUGGUAAGGUAACGGCUUACCAAGGCAACGAUGCGUAGCCGACCUGAGAGGGUGGUAGGCCACACUGGAACGGAGACACGGUCCAGACUCCUACGGUAGGCAGCAGUAGGGAAUCUUCCGCAAUGGGCGAAGGCCUGACGGAGCAACGCCGCGUGAGUGAUGAUGGUCUUCGGAUCGUAAAACUCUGUUAUUAGGGAAGAACAAAUGUGUAAGUAACUAUGCACGUCUUGACGGUACCUAAUCAGAAAGCCACGGCUAACUACGUG
Molecule: ribosomal RNA, 497 nt
Filed under: uncultured bacterium
Lineage: Bacteria
Description: partial 16S ribosomal RNA
Rfam family: Bacterial small subunit ribosomal RNA
Source: RNAcentral